Non-coding RNA from Pseudomonas sp., 70 nucleotides. Lineage: Bacteria; Pseudomonadati; Pseudomonadota; Gammaproteobacteria; Pseudomonadales; Pseudomonadaceae. The record is from Rfam.
GGCCCACAUCUUGCUCAACCUAUCGCACUGGUAGCCAACGGCGGUUGCCCCUUCACGACAAAGACGUCGC